UGGGGAAUUUUGGACAAUGGGGGAAACCCUGAUCCAGCCAUCCCGCGUGUGCGAUGAAGGCCUUCGGGUUGUAAAGCACUUUUGGCAGGAAAGAAACGUCGCGGGUUAAUACCCCGCGAAACUGACGGUACCUGCAGAAUAAGCACCGGCUAACUACGUGCCAGCAGCCGCGGUAAUACGUAGGGUGCAAGCGUUAAUCGGAAUUACUGGGCGUAAAGCGUGCGCAGGCGGUUCGGAAAGAAAGAUGUGAAAUCCCAGAGCUUAACUUUGGAACUGCAUUUUUGAACUACCGGGCUAGAGUGUGUCAGAGGGAGGUGGAAUUCCGCGUGUAGCAGUGAAAUGCGUAGAUAUGCGGAGGAACACCGAUGGCGAAGGCAGCCUCCUGGGAUAACACUGACGCUCAUGCACGAAAAGCGUGGGGAGCAAACAGGAUUAGAUACCCUGGUAGUCCACGCCCCUAAAACGAUGUCAACUAGCUGUUGGGGCCUUCGGGCCUUGGUAGCGCAGCUAACGCGUGAAGUUGACCGCCUGGGGAGUACGGUCGCAAGAUUAAAA
Molecule: ribosomal RNA, 555 nt
Filed under: uncultured bacterium
Lineage: Bacteria
Description: partial 16S ribosomal RNA
Rfam family: Bacterial small subunit ribosomal RNA
Source: RNAcentral